AGCAGCCGCGGUAAUUCCAGCUCCAAUAGCGUAUAUUAAAGUUGUUGCGGUUAAAAGCUCGUAGUUGAACUUCGGGGUUUACCCAUUGGUCAGGCUUAAUUGUCUGUACUGGUGAGAUGAAUCUCUACCUUCUGAGGAACUUUCAUGCCAUUUAUUUGGUGUGGUUGGAAAUCAGGACUGUUACUUUGAAAAAUUGAGUGUUUAAAGCAGACUAUCGUCUGAAUACAUUAGCAUGGAAUAAUGAAAUAGGACGGACUGAUUCUAUUUCGUUGGUUUCUAGGAUCACCGUAAUGAUUAAUAGGGAUAGUUGGGGGCAUUAGUAUUCAAUUGUCAGAGUGAAAUUCUUGGAUUUAUUGAAGACUAACUACUGCGAAAGCAUUUGCCAAGGAUGUUUUCAUUAAUCAAGAACGAAAGUUAGGGAUCGAAGACGAUCAGAUACCGUCGUAGUC
RNAcentral lists this unclassified non-coding RNA (449 nucleotides) under uncultured Glomus. Its description in RNAcentral is "SSU rRNA". It matches the Rfam family "Eukaryotic small subunit ribosomal RNA", at positions 569 to 1025 of the family's 1831-position model. Lineage: Eukaryota; Fungi; Glomeromycota; Glomeromycetes; Glomerales; Glomeraceae. The record is from RNAcentral.